GCCUCGGUAGCUCAGUUGGUAGAGCAGGGGACUGAAAAUCCCCGUGUCGGUGGUUCAAGUCCGCCCCGAGGCACCA
RNAcentral lists this transfer RNA (76 nucleotides) under Clostridia bacterium. RNAcentral describes it as "tRNA-Phe". It matches the Rfam family "tRNA". From Rfam's summary of the family: Transfer RNA (tRNA) molecules are approximately 80 nucleotides in length. Their secondary structure includes four short double-helical elements and three loops (D, anti-codon, and T loops). Further hydrogen bonds mediate the characteristic L-shaped molecular structure. tRNAs have two regions of fundamental functional importance: the anti-codon, which is responsible for specific mRNA codon recognition, and the 3' end, to which the tRNAs corresponding amino acid is attached (by aminoacyl-tRNA synthetases). tRNAs cope with the degeneracy of the genetic code in two manners: having more than one tRNA (with a specific anti-codon) for a particular amino acid; and 'wobble' base-pairing, i.e. permitting non-standard base-pairing at the 3rd anti-codon position. Lineage: Bacteria; Bacillati; Bacillota; Clostridia. The record is from RNAcentral. RNAcentral also lists the same sequence under 3 other names.